GGGUCGUUAGCUCAGUUGGUAGAGCAGUUGACUUUUAAUCAAUUGGUCGCAGGUUCGAAUUCUGCACGACCUACCA
This 76-nucleotide transfer RNA is filed under the name Escherichia coli. RNAcentral's name for it is "tRNA-Lys". It matches the Rfam family "tRNA". Rfam says of the family: Transfer RNA (tRNA) molecules are approximately 80 nucleotides in length. The record is from RNAcentral. Lineage: Bacteria; Pseudomonadati; Pseudomonadota; Gammaproteobacteria; Enterobacterales; Enterobacteriaceae.